AUUGAACGCUGGCGGCAGGCCUAACACAUGCAAGUCGAACGAGUGGCGGAUGGGUGAGUAAUGUCUGGGAAACUGCCCGAUGGAGGGGGAUAACUACUGGAAACGGUAGCUAAUACCGCAUACCAUCGGAUGUGCCCAGAUGGGAUUAGCUUGUAGGUGAGGUAACGGCUCACCUAGGCGACGAUCCCUAGCUGGGCUGAGAGGAUGAACCGACACACUGGAGCUGAGAAACGGUCCAGACGACUACGGGAGGCAGCAGUGGGGAGUAUUGCACAAGGGGGGAAAUGCUGAUUCAGCCAUGCCGAGUGUAUGAAGAAGGCCUUAUGGUGUUAAAGUACUUUCAGCGGGGAGGCGUUACCCGCAGAAGAAGCACCGGCUAACGCCGUGCCAGCAGCCGCGGUAAUAC
Molecule: ribosomal RNA, 406 nt
Filed under: uncultured bacterium
Lineage: Bacteria
Description: partial 16S ribosomal RNA
Rfam family: Bacterial small subunit ribosomal RNA
Source: RNAcentral